UUUCCGUAGGUGAACCUCCGGAAGGAUCAUUACCUAGAGUUUGUAGACUUCGGUCUGCUACCUCUUACCCAUGUCUUUUGAGUACCUUCGUUUCCUCGGCGGGUCCGCCCGCCGAUUGGACAACAUUCAAAUCCUUUGCAGUUGAAAUCAGCGUCUGAAAAAACAUAAUAGUUACAACUUUCAACAACGGAUCUCUUGGUUCUG
This 204-nucleotide unclassified non-coding RNA is filed under the name plant metagenome. RNAcentral's name for it is "partial contains small subunit ribosomal RNA, internal transcribed spacer 1, and 5.8S ribosomal RNA". The record is from RNAcentral.